UCUUCGGCUGUCCACACCCCUCGCCAGUCACCGCAAGUUCACUCACUUGACGAAAGCCAUCUUACAGCUACCCUGAUCCCUGGGCGGAUACUUGCCAUCUAGUCUAUUCCAUCGACAAACAAUGAAGUCUGUGCUACUGUGCCUGGGAGUCGCUGUGCUUUGCCUAGUGUUUGUGAUAGCGGAGGACCAACAACCAGGCAAGCAAGAAGACGAUCCUAAAAAGGCAUUGGAAGUUUUCUGCAAAGUAACAUGUCGAUCAAUUCAACGGUGUCCGGAAAUCUGCCCUCAGAAAUUAACCGGAAGUUGGACCAAACGUAGGGGACUCAUGGGAAGUCCAGGAAUCGGGGAUCUCAGAUUUGAUGAUUAUCUGUUCUUGAAGCUUCUCGGGAAUUAGAGAAAUCCAGGCGAGUGGCCUGUCCGUUCCUCCCGUGGCCUGAUCCUAGUGUCUUCACCCUAUCUUAUCAAUCAUACCGAGUCUUAUUUGUUUCUGGAUUUUGUCUGAAUUAAAUCUUUCCAAUAUUUGUCUAUUUUCACCUUUGUUAUUGACGGUCAGUAUUCCGAGCUAAUAUUUUUGCAUCCUUCUUCCAACUUUAUUUCUGAAAUUAGAAAGUUGUACUGUCGUAAUGAUUUCAACGCAGAUUUAGUUGAAAAUUGUAUAAUUGUUCAGCUUUUAAUAGUAAUUACAUUGAUAUUUUCCAGACGACUGUGUAUAACGUUUUACUUGGGGUAACACAUUGGUUGUGUCUCAAAGUAAUUUAUUUAUGUUUAUUUUUGUAAGUUAUUGUGAAUAAAGAACUAAAUGGAAUAA
Molecule: long non-coding RNA, 808 nt
Organism: Liolophura sinensis
Lineage: Eukaryota; Metazoa; Mollusca; Polyplacophora; Chitonida; Chitonidae
Exons: 5
Source: RefSeq, a predicted model, not a curated record